RNAcentral lists this ribosomal RNA (500 nucleotides) under uncultured bacterium. RNAcentral's name for it is "partial 16S ribosomal RNA". It matches the Rfam family "Bacterial small subunit ribosomal RNA", at positions 30 to 523 of the family's 1533-position model. The record is from RNAcentral.
AUUGAACGCUGGCGGCAGGCCUAACACAUGCAAGUCGAGCGGAUGACGGGAGCUUGCUCCUUGAUUCAGCGGCGGACGGGUGAGUAAUGCCUAGGAAUCUGCCUGGUAGUGGGGGACAACGUUUCGAAAGGAACGCUAAUACCGCAUACGUCCUACGGGAGAAAGCAGGGGACCUUCGGGCCUUGCGCUAUCAGAUGAGCCUAGGUCGGAUUAGCUAGUUGGGGAGGUAAUGGCUCACCAAGGCGACGAUCCGUAAGUGGUCUGAGAGGAUGAUCAGCCACGACGCAACUGAGACACGGGUGAGCCGCCCUCGGGAGGCAGUAGCGGGGAAUAGUGGAGCAUAGGCGAACGCAUGAUUCGCGCUUACGACGUGGGUGAAGAACGUGUUCGGACAGUAAAGCCCCGUAACCUGGGAGAAAGGCGAGUACCCGAAUACCGUGGUGGCUCGACCUUACCGUCGGAAUCACUAGCCACUAACUCUCUGCCAGCAGCCGCCGUAA